GAAUAGUGUUUUACGUUUACCUUUAUGUGCACUAGGCCUAAUCGAAAUGUUCUGUUUUAGGAAGAGUAGACAAGAUCGCGAAAUGGAAGAGUUGAGACAGAAGAGGACGUACACAUGUAGUCUCGGUCAUUCACACAGCAGUAUGCGAGAGGUUAACGCUUGUCAUGAUUACAGGCUGAAAUCCCAGUUUCUCGAACGCUUUGCCAAAUUGCCGAG
Molecule: long non-coding RNA, 216 nt
Organism: Pecten maximus
Lineage: Eukaryota; Metazoa; Mollusca; Bivalvia; Pectinida; Pectinidae
Exons: 3
Source: RefSeq, a predicted model, not a curated record